UACGUAGGGUGCGAGCGUUAAUCGGAAUUACUGGGCGUAAAGCGUGCGCAGGCGGUGCACCAAGCUCGAUGUGAAAGCCCCGGGCUUAACCUGGGAAUUGCAUUGAGGACUGGUGUGCUCGAGUGCGGGAGAGGGGGGUGGAAUUCCACGUGUAGCAGUGAAAUGCGUAGAGAUGUGGAGGAACACCGAUGGCGAAGGCAGCCCCCUGGGCCGACACUGACGCUCAUGCACGAAAGCGUGGGGAGCAAACAGG
Molecule: ribosomal RNA, 253 nt
Filed under: uncultured bacterium
Lineage: Bacteria
Description: partial 16S ribosomal RNA
Rfam family: Bacterial small subunit ribosomal RNA
Source: RNAcentral